CCAUUUUACCACUCACAGAAAACAUCGAGCGAACGCUAUUUUCUACUUGUUGUAUAAAUUCAUCGCUUGAGACUCGUGAAUAAAUUGACGGAAAAUGCCUGCAUGUGCAGCUGUAAAGUGCACAAAUCGGCAGUUCAAAGGUUGUGGACGAACAUUUCACCUGUUUCCUUCGCGAUCUCCUGAAUUGGUGAGAGAAUGGGUGAAGAGAAUUGGCAGAGGAUUAGCCUGGGGACCAUCACCAACAGCUGUUCUGUGUUCCGAUCACUUCCAUGAAAGGUGUUUUGAUCGUACGGGACAAACAACGAGACUACGCAAUCUUGCAAUACCAACCAUCUUCCCAUUUAGUAUUUCAAAGAGCGGAAAAGUGCUGGACAUACCUAAGUCUGGAACUCUUUCAUACCUGGCCAGAGCUUUGGAAAUCGCUGAGCUGCCUGCAAAUCACAUGUUUAUGAAGUGUAAAGAUACAGAUACAAGCAACAGUGUUUCCACAGGUUCCACUUCAAAACCUACCACUUCCACCUUGCCCACUUCGGCACCUGACAGCGAUUCUCAGUCAAAGUCUGGGAAAACCAAGACGAAAGAAUUCACACAUGAUCACACAUACAGUAUAGUCAAUUGUCCCAAAGAUGUGAAGCACAAACUAGAUAUCAUCCACAACCAAAUGGAUCUGAUGAGUAGGAAAUUAAGACGAGCACAGACGAACCAAAAGAGACUCGGUGCGAAAGAGAAAUCUUUGUUACGUGAGGUGAAGAUGCUUAGGGCCAAACAACAAACAGCCCUUCAGAGGAUAGAAGAGAUCAGUGACAGCUUACAUUUUGGUCUCUGAGAUAUUGUGUUUUCUACAUGGACUUAUGCGUUUCAAGAUGAAAUCAGUGGAUUUCAAAGUAAUACGUGGUGAUUUCAAGGUCAUGUGGUUUUCUUGGUGCUUAUGUAGAUGGUCUAUGGACAAUCGUACACAUCACUAUCAAGUACCAACCACCCUGCAAGCUGCAAGAGGACAAAAAGUUUGGUUCUUCAAUUAUAUAUAUGGUUCUCGUUUAGAAAUUCCCAAUCAGUCUUCAACUUGAGAAUGGACCGGUUUACUAAUAUAUUCAAAUUUAUUUUAGGGAUGUUUCUUUCCUGGGGACCUAGUGACGAGUUAAUUAAACUUGCUAUUAAUGGAUGAACUACAAAAUUUGGAAUGCAAGCUGCAUACAUUAUUGAUUGCUAUGUCUGGCAUGUCUCAGGCAAGCUUUCAGGUUUUCAAGACCAACCUACAGUGUAUGUAUAAAAGGUAUGCAUACUUGCAUAGAGUUUGAAUAUGUUAGCAAACCUGUCUAUUAUUGACAUGUUGACUCGAGAAUUAUUGACAUGUUAGAACCUUAUAUAUAAAUUAUAUUAUGUAUUGUUAUGAAUAUGCAAAUUUGCAGUUCAGAAGCAAUAAAUCGGGUGAACAGAACAAAUUUAUCAGUAGCUGAUUGAUCCUUGAAAAGUAUAUGUAAUGCACGAUCUUUGAUUUCUCCAAAAUGAUGACAUUCCAGAGCAUACCGGUAGGCUGAUUUUCAUUACAAGGAAUUGAACUUUUUAGUCAAAGUCAUUAUGUUAAUAAAGGUCAGUAAUUCCAAUGAUUUUUAUGCCUCCGUUACGAAGUAGCCGGAGGCAUUAUGUUUUUAGGUUGUCCCUCCGUCCGUACGUGCGUACGUCCAUACGUCCGUACGUCCCGUUCUCGUGAUCGCGUUAUCUGAAGAACCGAUUGAUGGAUUCCUGCCAAACUUUGGUCAUAUAUGCAUCUUGUAGAGCUGAUGAACUGAUUAGAUUUUGGGGUAAUAUCAAUGUUUGUAUAGAUGCAAAUAGUUGUUUAACCGGUAACUUAUUUAUGAUUUGUGAAUAAAUUGAUAUUGCUGGUUUAAACAUGA
RNAcentral lists this long non-coding RNA (1895 nucleotides) under Strongylocentrotus purpuratus (purple sea urchin). RNAcentral describes it as "tHAP domain-containing protein 3, transcript variant X3". The record is from RNAcentral. Lineage: Eukaryota; Metazoa; Echinodermata; Echinoidea; Camarodonta; Strongylocentrotidae.